RNAcentral lists this ribosomal RNA (974 nucleotides) under uncultured Bacteroidales bacterium. RNAcentral's name for it is "bacterial LSU rRNA". It matches the Rfam family "Bacterial large subunit ribosomal RNA", at positions 1929 to 2925 of the family's 2925-position model. Lineage: Bacteria; Pseudomonadati; Bacteroidota; Bacteroidia; Bacteroidales. The record is from RNAcentral.
GGCGGCCGUAACUAUAACGGUCCUAAGGUAGCGAAAUUCCUUGUCGGGUAAGUUCCGACCUGCACGAAUGGUGUAACGAUCUGGGUACUGUCUCAGCCACGAGCUCGGUGAAAUUGUAGUAGCGGUGAAGAUGCCGCUUACCCGCAACGGGACGGAAAGACCCCGUGAACCUUCACUAUAGCUUUACAUUGAUUCUGGGCAAGCGAUGUGUAGGAUAGGUGGGAGACUGCGAAGCGGGUCCGCCAGGAUUCGUGGAGUCAACGUUGAAAUACCACCCUUUGCUUGUCUAGGCUCUAACUCCGCGGUGCGGAGGACAGUGUAUGGUGGGUAGUUUGACUGGGGUGGUCGCCUCCAAAAGAGUAACGGAGGCUUUCAAAGGUUCCCUCAGCACGCUUGGUAACCGUGCGCAGAGUGCAAAGGCAGAAGGGAGCUUGACUGUGAGGCUGACAAGCCGAGCAGGUGGGAAACCAGGACUUAGUGAUCCGGCGGUUCCGCAUGGAAGGGCCGUCGCUCAAAGGAUAAAAGGUACUCCGGGGAUAACAGGCUGAUCACCCCCAAGAGCUCACAUCGACGGGGUGGUUUGGCACCUCGAUGUCGGCCCGUCACAUCCUGGGGCUGGAGAAGGUCCCAAGGGUUCGGCUGUUCGCCGAUUAAAGUGGCACGCGAGCUGGGUUCAGAACGUCGCGAGACAGUUCGGUCCCUAUCUGUUGUGGGCGUUUGAAGUUUGAGGGGCUCUGACUCUAGUACGAGAGGACCGAGUUGGACAGACCUCUAGUGUACCGGUUGUAACGCCAGUGGCACCGCCGGGUAGCUAUGUCUGGAACGGAUAAGCGCUGAAAGCAUCUAAGUGCGAAGCCGGCCCCAAGAUGAGACUUCGUUACAGGGUGGUCGAAGACUACGACCUUGAUAGGCCGCAGGUGUAAAGGCAGCGAUGUCAAAGCCGAGCGGUACUAAUUACCCGAAGACUUUCCGUU